UGUUACAGUCAAAUCACCCUCCAGACCAAGACUGAUUACUCACUGAAGCUAAGCAGGGAUGAGACUGUUCAGUACCAGGAUAGGAGACCACAUGGAAAAACUAGGUUGCUGUUGGAA
Danio rerio (zebrafish) is the source of this 117-nucleotide ribosomal RNA. NCBI's taxonomy places the organism in Eukaryota, Metazoa, Chordata, Actinopteri, Cypriniformes, Danionidae. The record is from Ensembl.